RNAcentral lists this non-coding RNA (167 nucleotides) under human gut metagenome. The record is from RNAcentral.
GGUGCGUUUUUCGCGCCGAAAAGAGGGAACCCGGUGAAAAACCGGGACAGCUACCACUACUGUAAGUGUUAAAGGAUUGUUACCCAUUGGACGUCGUCCGAGAAGGAAUCCGUUUGCUCCGGGUUGCCCGGUGCAAAUCACGAGUCAGGAGACCUGCCGCAUGUGAA